This 314-nucleotide unclassified non-coding RNA is filed under the name uncultured Tomentella. RNAcentral describes it as "sequence contains ITS2". Lineage: Eukaryota; Fungi; Basidiomycota; Agaricomycetes; Thelephorales; Thelephoraceae. The record is from RNAcentral.
AACGCACCUUGCGCCCUUUGGCUAUUCCGAAGGGCAUGCCUGUUUGAGUAUCAUAAACACCUCAACUCUCAUGGUUUGCCAUGAUGAGCUUGGACUUUGGGGGUCUUGCUGGCCUGUGGUCAGCUCCUCUCAAAUUAAUCAGCUUUCCAGUGUUUGGUGGCAUCACGAGUGUGAUAAAUAUCUACGCUUGUGGUUUCCUGCCAGGUAACCUUCAGUGAUGGAGGUUCGCUGGGGCUCAUAAAUGUCUCUCCUCAGCGAAGACAGCUUUGUAAAUGUUUGAUCUCAAAUCAGGUAGGACUACCCGCUGAACUUAA